RNAcentral lists this ribosomal RNA (1196 nucleotides) under endosymbiont of Haematopinus apri. RNAcentral describes it as "bacterial SSU rRNA". It matches the Rfam family "Bacterial small subunit ribosomal RNA", at positions 63 to 1233 of the family's 1533-position model. The record is from RNAcentral. Lineage: Bacteria; Pseudomonadati; Pseudomonadota; Gammaproteobacteria; Enterobacterales; Enterobacteriaceae.
CGAGCGGCAACAGAAAAAGCUAGUAUAGUUUUUGCUGGCAAACGGCGAACGGGUGAGUAAUAUCUGGGGAUCUGCCCAAUGAAGGGGGAUAACUACUGGAAACGGUAGCUAAUACCGCAUAAUGUCGGGAGACUAAAGUGGGGGAUUAUAAAUUUAUUUUUAUGACCUCAUGUCAUUGGAUGAACCCAGACGAGAUUAGCUAGUAGGUAAGGUAAUGGCUUACCUAGGCUACGAUCUCUAGCUGGUCUAAGAGGAUGAACAGCCACACUGGAACUGAGAUACGGUCCAGACUCCUACGGGAGGCAGCAGUGGGGAAUAUUGCACAAUGGGGGAAACCCUGAUGCAGUCAUGCCGCGUGUGUGAAGAAGGCCUUAGGGUUGUAAAGCACUUUCAGCAGGUAAGAAGUUGAUUAUACUAAUAAUAUAAUUAAUUGACGUUACUGCAGAAGAAGCACCGGCUAACUCCGUGCCAGCAGCCGCGGUAAUACGGAGGGUGCAAGCGUUAAUCGGAAUUACUGGGCGUAAAGGGUACGUAGGCUGUUUAUUAAGUCGGGAUGUGAAAUCCCUAAGCUUAACUUAGGAACUGCAUUCGAAACUGGUAUUCUAGAGUCUCGUAGAGGGGAGUAGAAUUCCAGGUGUAGCGGUGAAAUGCGUAGAGAUCUGGAGGAAUACCAGUGGCGAAGGCGACUCCCUGGACGAAGACUGACGCUCAGGUACGAAAGCAUGGGGAGCAAACAGGAUUAGAUACCCUGGUAGUCCAUGCCGUAAACGAUGUCGAUUUGAAGGUUGCAGAUAGUUAUAUUGUGGCUUUCGUAGCUAACGCGUUAAAUCGACCGCCUGGGAAGUACGGCCGCAAGGCUAAAACUCAAAUGAAUUGACGGGGGCCCGCACAAGCGGUGGAGCAUGUGGUUUAAUUCGAUGCAACNCGAAGAACCUUACCUACUCUUGACAUCCAAAGAACUUAACAGAAAUGUUUUGGUGCCUUCGGGAACUUUGAGACAGGUGCUGCAUGGCUGUCGUCAGCUCGUGUUGUGAAAUGUUGGGUUAAGUCCCGCAACGAGCGCAACCCUUAUCCUUUGUUGCCAGCGAUAUAGUCGGGAACUCAAAGGAAACUGCCAGUGAUAAACUGGAGGAAGGUGGGGAUGACGUCAAGUCAUCAUGGCCCUUACGAGUAGGGCUACACACGUGCUACAAUGG